This 486-nucleotide ribosomal RNA is filed under the name uncultured bacterium. RNAcentral's name for it is "bacterial SSU rRNA". It matches the Rfam family "Bacterial small subunit ribosomal RNA", at positions 38 to 518 of the family's 1533-position model. The record is from RNAcentral.
GGCGGCGUGCCUAAUACAUGCAAGUCGAACGAGAGUGCUUGCACUCUAGUGGCGAACGGGUGAGUAACACGUAGGUAACCUGCCUUACGAGUUGGGAUACCCUGGCGAAAGCUAGGCUAAUACCGAAUAAUUGGAUUGGAGGCAUCUCCGAUCUCUAAAAGGGGCCUUUAAAGCCUCGCUGAAUGAUGGACCUGCGGCGCAUUAGCUAGUUGGUGAGAUAACAGCCACCAAGGCGAGGAUGCGUAGCCGACCUGAGAGGGUGAACGGCCACACUGGAACUGAGACACGGUCCAGACUCCUACGGGAGGCAGCAGUAGGGAGUUUUCGGCAAUGGGGGCAACCCUGACCGAGCAACGCCGCGUGAAUGAAUGAAGGUCUUCGGAUUGUAAAGUUCUGUUAUAAGGGAAAAAUGAUAUGGUGAGGAAAUGCUCCAUAUUUGAUGGUACCUUAUUAGAAAGCCACGGCUAACUACGUGCCAGCCGCCGC